AUUCUUCCCUACUCUUUACGAUCCUGCAAUAAGAACAUGGUAGCCAUUUUGGAGCAGGAGAAAGAGAGACCACAAUAUACAAGGUGGAUUCUGUUAAAAGGAAAAAAGCCAUACGUGAUACUACAAAAAUUAGUUUGGUGGGAUUGCAUUGAAGCUUAUCAAAAUGUCUACAUUCCUGCUUCGCACACUAUAAUCUUACUUAUUUAUAUAUAAUCAGAACUGGCCACACUAGAUUGUAUAUGAAAUUAUUUAAAAUGUCUUCAAGUAUUUCUGAAGCACCAACCAUACUGAAUAAUAUGCCAUCGGCUGGAGUCGAAUCCGCGAACCUCAAAGAACGAAACCAACACGUUACCACAGACUGCAACAUAAUUACAGUAGAUAGGAUAAAACCAUACAUACCAUAAAUCAUGGUUAUUAUUCAUAAAAAAAAACAUCAUUAACUUCUUUUUACUUUAAAUAUUUCACCGCUGUACAAGUAAAAAGGGUUAAGAGCCGUUGAAAAAAUAUUAUAUUUACUAAUCGAGUAAAAGUAUUUUACAAUUCAGUAACUUGGCCAAACAUACACAUGUAGGAUGUAUAAAUUCUUCAUGAUUAUCAUAAACUACUGAAUUAUCAAAGUCUUCAAUGAUUUUAUAUUUAGAAAAUUGUUGUUUCAAAUCAUCGUAGUACUGAUCGAUAUUAGAAUGGUUUACGCUAGAAAUAGAUUUAUAUAAAACCACCAUUUCAAUGUUAUUAUAAUCUUGCAAGAAGGUUUUGAGUGAUUUUAGAGUAGUCAAUCGUUGAGGCUUCACAAUAUUCUUAUUAAUACGUUUAGGUAGCAAUGCAUGUUGCUUUCUUGUGGUAAAAACAUGAAUAUUCGAUGCAGUAAUUUUAAAAUUUUUCCUCCUGCUUUUUGUGAGGUUUGCGAAAAACAAAAUGUUACAGUAGUUGAUGUUAUCAGAUGAUUUUUGUACUUGAAUGAAAAGUAUCGAUUUGGUAGACAUGGCGAGAAACUUUAAUUAUCAGUUGAAUCUAGCCUACAUAGAUACUAUUCAAUGAAUAUCAAACUAAUGUAUUUCAAUCAAGCUAGUCGUUAAUUAAAAUCUAAUCCACAUGUAGCUUAUGACAAAUUGAUAUGAAUAAUGAUUCUAAUUAACUGUAGAAAAUUUUGUCAAA
Molecule: long non-coding RNA, 1155 nt
Organism: Chelonus insularis
Lineage: Eukaryota; Metazoa; Arthropoda; Insecta; Hymenoptera; Braconidae
Exons: 3
Source: RefSeq, a predicted model, not a curated record